CUACGGAGGAUCCGAGCGUUAUCCGGAUUUAUUGGGUUUAAAGGGAGCGUAGGUGGAUUGUUAAGUCAGUUGUGAAAGUUUGCGGCUCAACCGUAAAAUUGCAGUUGAAACUGGCAGUCUUGAGUACAGUAGAGGUGGGCGGAAUUCGUGGUGUAGCGGUGAAAUGCUUAGAUAUCACGAAGAACUCCGAUUGCGAAGGCAGCUCACUAGACUGUUACUGACACUGAUGCUCGAAAGUGUGGGUAUCAAACAGGAUUAGAUACCCUGGUAGUCCACACAGUAAACGAUGAAUACUCGCUGUUUGCGAUAUACAGUAAGCGGCCAAGCGAAAGCAUUAAGUAUUCCACCUGGGGAGUACGCCGGCAACGGUGAAACUCAAAUGAAUUGACGGGG
RNAcentral lists this ribosomal RNA (393 nucleotides) under uncultured bacterium. RNAcentral describes it as "partial 16S ribosomal RNA". It matches the Rfam family "Bacterial small subunit ribosomal RNA", at positions 523 to 918 of the family's 1533-position model. The record is from RNAcentral.